CUUGCCUUUGAAGAAAAUGAGGUGCUCUUGAAGAAAAAAUCACCAAAUAUUCUUAAGUAAAAGUUACUCUUAACAAUGCCUUGGGAAAUUCCUUGAACAAAGGAAAAUUAUGGUGCCAAGAAAUUAAAUUGUAUAGAAACACUGCUAUGAGUUCCUCCAAUGAAGAGUCAACAUCUCGAAGAGCUAGAGAACUCGUUGAAAAAGGGGAACCAUCGCACGUCGCUCCAGCAACUUGCCAUCGAUUCCACCAAUAGCAUAGGCAAGAAACAUCUAGAGUAGCAGCUAGACUCACUAGAGAAGUAGCCAAUAUGAGGAGCAUAACCUAACAUAACAUUGUAAUGCAUGAGGUGUUGAGAGACAUGCAAGGUCAAAGAGGGUAUCCAAUUCCUCAUUAUGCAACUCAGGAGAACACAUUACAGGAUCCAUCCCAAGGAAAUUAUUACCACGGUGAAGAAGAGUUCCAGAGUAAAAUAGCAGGAUACCAGUAAUACACCAGGGAGGAUACCCUUCAAGAAAAG
This 518-nucleotide long non-coding RNA is filed under the name Olea europaea subsp. europaea. The record is from RNAcentral. Lineage: Eukaryota; Viridiplantae; Streptophyta; Magnoliopsida; Lamiales; Oleaceae.